Molecule: non-coding RNA, 172 nt
Organism: Sphingobacterium sp. JB170
Lineage: Bacteria; Pseudomonadati; Bacteroidota; Sphingobacteriia; Sphingobacteriales; Sphingobacteriaceae
Source: Rfam
UCCUCUGCGAGGAGGAAUCUGAAGGAAGUCGGCGGCAAAAUCUCGGUCCGACGAAUAGAAACUACAUAUAAGGCCGCAAGUGUUGGAUGAGGUUGCCAAACAAACCGAAGUCCCAAACUGUACGGAAACACUAUGGUAAAUGUAGCGGAUAUAUGAGAUGAAAGUUAUUGUU